RNAcentral lists this transfer RNA (76 nucleotides) under Caudoviricetes sp. RNAcentral describes it as "tRNA-Arg". It matches the Rfam family "tRNA". From Rfam's summary of the family: Transfer RNA (tRNA) molecules are approximately 80 nucleotides in length. Their secondary structure includes four short double-helical elements and three loops (D, anti-codon, and T loops). Further hydrogen bonds mediate the characteristic L-shaped molecular structure. tRNAs have two regions of fundamental functional importance: the anti-codon, which is responsible for specific mRNA codon recognition, and the 3' end, to which the tRNAs corresponding amino acid is attached (by aminoacyl-tRNA synthetases). tRNAs cope with the degeneracy of the genetic code in two manners: having more than one tRNA (with a specific anti-codon) for a particular amino acid; and 'wobble' base-pairing, i.e. permitting non-standard base-pairing at the 3rd anti-codon position. The record is from RNAcentral. Lineage: Duplodnaviria; Heunggongvirae; Uroviricota; Caudoviricetes.
GCCUCGUUAACUCAAAGGAUAGAGUAAUCGCCUUCUAAGCGAUAGGUUACUGGUUCGAGUCCAGUACGAGGUGCCA